Molecule: ribosomal RNA, 1170 nt
Filed under: uncultured Bacteroides sp.
Lineage: Bacteria; Pseudomonadati; Bacteroidota; Bacteroidia; Bacteroidales; Bacteroidaceae
Description: bacterial SSU rRNA
Rfam family: Bacterial small subunit ribosomal RNA
Source: RNAcentral
AGUUUGAUCCUGGCUCAGGAUGAACGCUAGCUACAGGCUUAACACAUGCAAGUCGAGGGGCAGCAUGAACUUAGCUUGCUAAGUUUGAUGGCGACCGGCGCACGGGUGAGUAACACGUAUCCAACCUGCCGAUGACUCGGGGAUAGCCUUUCGAAAGAAAGAUUAAUACCCGAUGGCAUAGUUCUUCCGCAUGGUAGAACUAUUAAAGAAUUUCGGUCAUCGAUGGGGAUGCGUUCCAUUAGGUUGUUGGCGGGGUAACGGCCCACCAAGCCUUCGAUGGAUAGGGGUUCUGAGAGGAAGGUCCCCCACAUUGGAACUGAGACACGGUCCAAACUCCUACGGGAGGCAGCAGUGAGGAAUAUUGGUCAAUGGACGAGAGUCUGAACCAGCCAAGUAGCGUGAAGGAUGACUGCCCUAUGGGUUGUAAACUUCUUUUAUACGGGAAUAAAGUGAGGCACGCGUGCCUUUUUGUAUGUACCGUAUGAAUAAGGAUCGGCUAACUCCGUGCCAGCGGCCGCGGUAAUACGGAGGAUCCGAGCGUUAUCCGGAUUUAUUGGGUUUAAAGGGAGCGUAGGCGGACGCUUAAGUCAGUUGUGAAAGUUUGCGGCUCAACCGUAAAAUUGCAGUUGAUACUGGGUGUCUUGAGUACAGUAGAGGCAGGCGGAAUUCGUGGUGUAGCGGUGAAAUGCUUAGAUAUCACGGAGAACUCCGAUUGCGAAGGCAGCCUGCUGGACUGUAACUGACGCUGAUGCUCGAAAGUGUGGGUAUCAAACAGGAUUAGAUACCCUGGUAGUCCACACAGUAAACGAUGAAUACUCGCUGUUUGCGAUAUACAGUAAGCGGCCAAGCGAAAGCGUUAAGUAUUCCACCUGGGGAGUACGCCGGCAACGGUGAAACUCAAAGGAAUUGACGGGGGCCCGCACAAGCGGAGGAACAUGUGGUUUAAUUCGAUGAUACGCGAGGAACCUUACCCGGGCUUGAAUUGCAACUGAAUGAUGUGGAGACAUGUCAGCCGCAAGGCAGUUGUGAAGGUGCUGCAUGGUUGUCGUCAGCUCGUGCCGUGAGGCGUCGGCUUAAGUGCCAUAACGGGCGCAACCCUUAUCGAUAGUUACCAUCAGGUUAUGCUGGGGACUCUGUCGAGACUGCCGUCGUAAGAUGUGAGGAAGGUGG